UGACUCAGAGAUUGUUCCAGAAUGGACCCCUCACCUAGGCCUUGGCAACUGGACAGGAUGUUCCCUGGGUAAGGAUGAUCCCUGGGGACGGGCUGUGGUGGAGACGUCAUUAUGGCAAAGCCCAUUGGGUUUGUUCAGUCACUGAGAAAAGAAAAGCUCUUUUUCUCCACAAGGGGACUAAAAACUCAGCAUUGCCCAAGGUUUCAGCAGCCAACUUGCUACUGUGAAAAAGUGGGCCUGAGAAUAAAUCAGAUCCUGGUGAAAAUACACUAGGUUCUUGAUGACUCUGGGUCCCCACUGGAUCCUGAGACCCUGAUGGUUCUAACAGCAGCCCUUGUUUUCUCUUUUUGUUUUUGUUUUCAAUUCUGGUUUGGUCUGAGUUUCUGGUUUGUGAGCUGGCAGUCGGCUUUACCACAGUCAAAUCGCCAGCAGACUUCCAAAUUCCUCUCUGACCUAGUACUUCCAGCUGGAGAAACAUGAGCUUUCUGCUACUUUUCUCAUUAAAAAUCCCCAAGAAUACCAGGAGUUCUGUUUUUUCCUUUUACUAUGUAUGAGUAAAAGGUCUGUUUCUUGGGUAACUGAUUAUGGUAGCAUGAGUUUUAAAGCGAAAUGAGAAGUCUUCUUAGUAUUGUCAAGGACAGAGCAAGGUCACUGAAGCCCAGGGCUAAGCUUUACAUUCUUCACAGUCUCCUGUUUCUUGUCACAAGGCCCUGCCACAGGUGUGCUGAGUGAACCACAGCCAACCCCACACCUGGGGUUUCUGCCUCAAAGUUCCACCACAGGGAGAUGGGGCCACUUUGCCCCACAAAGGGAGCAGCUCAAAAUUGCUGCUUCAGGUGGGGGUGGCAGAGACACUUCCAUGGGGCACGUUCCUGAGUCCUCACCUGGCUCAGAUGUGCUUUUCCCUUGGGGAAGCGGUGCUCCUGAAUCCAGAGAGCUGAUGCUUGCUGGGCCAAGCAUCAGCACAGCAGGGGGAAGUCCAGGCAGGUCAGGCCUCCAGCUCCUUCAGAAUCUGCACGUCCUGCCAAAGCAGCUGUGCCUGCGGCUUAGUUCACAGCGUGGCUUGCAGAUUACGCCAGAGAAGUGAGUGGUAAGGAUCCUUCGUGAAGUGCUUCCACAUGAGAAAAAGACUCAAGGAAGUGGAAUUUUGCUGUUGGAGACCCAGCUUAACAGGCUUUUCACCUUGAGACCUCAGAUGGCAGGGCCCAGAAAUGGACGGAAAAGUCUGUCAACCUCUCAUUUUAAGAGUCUGCAGGAGGAUCAAGACCCUACACAGAACCAGCCUGCAGGCUCCUUGCAAAGGUCAGUGCCAAGUGUCCCCUGGGCCACAGAGCUCAGACAGCUGGUGUCACACAGCUCAGCCAAGGGAAGCCAGGGGUCCAGGGGCUGGGUGUGGGGAGAGAGAAUCUUUCUCUCUCUCUCUCUCUCUCUCUCUCUCUCUCUCACACACACACACACACACACACACACACACGUGCCUGCAUACCCACACACAUACACUCACACACACACACACGUGCCUGCAUACCCACACACAUACACUCACACACACACACACAUGAGUGCCUGCAAACCCACAUGCACACACAUGCAGUCACACACACGUGCACACUCACACAUGUGCACACACCCUGAGCUUAGUACUAGCAGGGCCGUGGGGGUGUCUGCAUUGCUCACAAGAAUCUGAUUUGAUGCAGCUGAAUGAGGUUGGUCCUACUUCCUUGGCCACCUCUCAACCUGGGGCGCUUUGUAGACUUCACCUUUGGAGCCAGCUGGAAACUCCUUUGGGCUUGCCCUUCUCGGUCCCAGGUCAGGGGGAUUCUCCCAAGGGCCCGGCUUUCAAGGGUCUUCUCUGUGGCCAGACCCAUGUCCCUUUUUCCCUAUAGAUCACUCUCUGGGUCUUGGUGGCCCCAGAAUUACUGAUCCCCAGGAGGAGAGCACACUGUCCUGUGUGAGAGCACAGGGGACACCUGGGUGAAGGAUGGUCUGUAGCAUAGGAGGAGAAGAGAGGGGCUUCCAGCCAAGAGCCCUGAGCCCCCAGUCCUGGCUCAUUCUGGUCAGGGGCUUUUGGAGGGUCCCAGGAUCCUGUUUUUACCUGGCCCCCCAGGUUGUUGUGGCUGUGUGUUUGUUCUGGGAGGGCAGGGGAUAGGACAGUUUAUUUAGCAGUUUAAUUUAUAAUCGUUCAUGUUAGUCACUUGUUACCUGAGCCUCUGGUUAUGUUCCUCCCAGAGCCCAGAGUACUUCUGCUUACCAAGUUGCCUCCAGGGAAAGUGACUCAGGUCAAUCCAGGGCAGGACUGGGCUUCCUGCCUGCAUCGGUGCUAGAUGUGGCUCUUGGAAAAUCCUGGGCAUUUCAUGGGGUUUAUCUCAUCUCUGAACUCAGCCCUGUCCCAGAGGGCCAGACCAAAAGGCUGUGACCCCAAAGCAGCCUCAGCCCCCAGCUCUUGUGCGAGGGAAACCAUACCUGUGGGGACACAAGGUGAGGCUUCCUCCCUCUUGUUCAGUAUCAAACAAGCCAUGUGGCCACAGCCACUGAGAGAUUGGAGCAGAUAUAGCUGGCAAGACCUCCCUGGGUGCAGAACCACUGUUCAAAACAAGCCUGUGGACUUUAUGUGGCCUUUAGACAAAGCUUUUCACACUUAACCCCUGGGAAUCCAUCAAGUCCAUGAAAUAUGUUUUCCUCAAGGGCAUGAUCCAGAAGGAUCAGGGAGUUGGUUUUGGAAAAUUAUAUCACAGAAACUUAAUCAUUCAGAGCUUUGGCUUUGAGCUGAGGAAAUCCUAGAGCUGGAGAUGAUGUUGGCAGGUCGAACCCACAUUCCACUAGAUGGCGCCAGAGAAGGGCACGUCUCACCCCACUUUCCUUUGUAACCAGGCUGACCUGGGCUGCUGCUUUAAACCAGGCCUCCGCAAAAAGCCUGGAGGGACAUGUUAACCAAUGAAAUGCAGAUGCUCACUCAAAAUUGCAGAGAAAUAGGUGGAAUUGGAGACCUACAACUCCUUUUAAAAUGGCUGGUGUAUUUUUUUUUUUUAAGUGCUAUAAAAAAAGAAUCUUAAGGAAGUAGUUACUGUGUACACUCAGUCAAUAUUUGCUGGUCAAUAAGGGAACUUCUGCUAAGGAAUCGAGUCCCUGGGAGGUUCAGAAGUGGGUGGUCAGGAGCCUUCAAGUCUCCAAAGGCAGGUGUGAGCUCACGGGGACUUGGCUAAUGAAGAAUGAGGUCUGAGAUCUUGGGCCUGGGCUAGGAGGCCAUUAGUGCAUAAAGUUGGUUAAAUAAGCCACACUCUGCAUUGAUCAGAAGAGUCUGCAUUUAGGUGGGUGAAGUGCUAUCACACUGGGUGGCUUGGAAUUUUUUUUUUUUUUUUUUGCUGGAGCAAAUGAUUUUUUUUUUUCCUGCUGUACAGCAAGGGGAUCAAGUUAUCCUUACAUGUAUACAUUACAAUUACAUUUUUUCCCACCCUUUGUUCUGUUGCAAUAUGAGUAUCUAGACAUAGUUCUCAAUGCUAUUCAGCAGGAUCUCCUUGUAAAUCUAUUCUAAGUUGUGUCUGAUAAGCCCAAGCUCCCGAUCCCUCCCACUCCCUCCCCCUCCCAUCAGGCAGCCACAAGUCUCUUCUCCAAGUCCAUGAUUUUCUCUUCUGUGGAGAUAUUCAUUUGUGCUGGAUAUUAGAGUCCAGUUAUAAGUGAUAUCAUAUGGUAUUUGUCUUUGCCUUUCUGACUCAUUUCACUCAGGAUGAGAGUCUCUAGUUCCAUCCAUGUUGCUGCAAAUGGCAUUAUGUUGUUCUUUUUUAUGGCUGAGGAGUAUUCCAUUGUGUAUACAUACCACCUCUUCCGAAUCCAAUCAUCUGUCAAUGGACAUUUGGGUUGUUUCCAUGUCCUGGCUAUUGUGAAUAGUGCUGCAAUGAACAUGAGGGUUCUUGUGUCUCCUUUAAGUAGAGUUUUGUCCGGAUAUAUGCCCCAAGAGUGGGAUUGUGGGGUCAUAUGGAAGUUCUAUGUAUAGAUUUCUAAGGUAUCUCCAAACUGUUCUCCAUAGUGGCUGUACCAGUUUACAUUCCCACCAACAGUGCAGGAGGGUCCCUUUUCUCCACAGCCCCUCCAGCACUUGUUAUUUGUGGAUUUAUUCAUGAUGGCCAUUCUGACUGGUGUGAGGUGGUAUCUCAUGGUAGUUUUGAUUUGCAUUUCUCUUAUAAUCAGCGAUGUUGAGCAUUUUUUCAUGUGUUUGUUGGCCAUCUGUAUAUCUUCUUUGGAGAAAUGUCUAUUCAGGUCUUUUGCCCAUUUUUGCAUUGAUUGAUUGGUUUUUUUGCUGUUGGGUUGUAUAAGUUGUUUAUAUAUUCUAGAGAUUAAGUCCUUGUCGGUUACCUCACUUGAAACUAUUCUCUCCCAUUCUGUAAGUUGUCUUUUUGUUUUCUUUUGGGUUUCCUUUUCUGUGCAAAAGCUUUUCAGUUUGAUGAGGUCCCAUGGGUUUAUUUUUGCUCUAAUUUCUAUUGCUUUGGGAGACUGACCUGGGAAAAUAUUCAUGAUGUUGAUGUCAGAGAGUGUUUUGCCUAUGUUCUCUUCUAGGAGUUUGAUGGUGUCCUGUCGUAUAUUUAAGUCUUUCAGCCAUUUGGAGUUUAUUUUUGUGCAUGGUGUGAGGGUGUAUUCUAGUUUCAUUGCUUUGCAUGCAGCUGUCCAGGUUUCCCAGCAAUGCUUGCUGAAUAGACUUUCUUUUUCCCAUUUUAUGUUCUUGCCUCCCUUGUCAAAGAUUAAUUGACCAUAGGUGUCAGGGUUUAUUUCUGGGUUCUCUAUUCUGUUCCAUUGGUCUGUCUGUCUGUUUUGAUACCAGUACCACACUGUUUUGAUGACUGUGGCUUUGUAGUAUUUCUUGAAGUCUGGGAGAGUUAUGUGGGUGGCUUGGAAUUUUAGUCAUUGAUCAGUUUUUGUUGGUUAGAAGCAGCUAGAUUGAAAGGCAGCCUUCUGGAGUUCCCAUUGUGGCUCAGUGGUUGAGGAAUCCAACUAGGAACCAUGAGGUUAUGGGUUUGGUCCCUGGCCUUGCUCAGUGGGUUAACAAUCCGGCGUUGCCGUGAGCUGUGGUGUAGAUUGCAGAUGUGGCUCGAAUCUCGAGUUGCUGUGGCUCUGACUUAGGCUGGAGGCUACAACUCCGAUUUGACCCCUAGCCUGGGGACCUCCAUAUGCC
Molecule: long non-coding RNA, 5164 nt
Filed under: Sus scrofa (pig)
Lineage: Eukaryota; Metazoa; Chordata; Mammalia; Artiodactyla; Suidae
Description: lncRNA (ENSSSCG00000054570.1)
Source: RNAcentral